This is a ribosomal RNA of 207 nucleotides. It matches the Rfam family "Bacterial small subunit ribosomal RNA", at positions 568 to 774 of the family's 1533-position model.
CGCGUAGGCGGGAUUACAAGUCAGGUGUGAAAUUUAUGGGCUCAACCCAUAAACUGCAUUUGAAACUGUAGUUCUUGAGUGAUGGAGAGGCAGGCGGAAUUCCUAGUGUAGCGGUGAAAUGCGUAGAUAUUAGGAGGAACACCAGUGGCGAAGGCGGCCUGCUGGACAUUAACUGACGCUGAUGCGCGAAAGCGUGGGGAGCAAACA